Molecule: ribosomal RNA, 255 nt
Filed under: uncultured bacterium
Lineage: Bacteria
Description: partial 16S ribosomal RNA
Rfam family: Bacterial small subunit ribosomal RNA
Source: RNAcentral
UACGUAGGGGGCAAGCGUUGUCCGGAUUUAUUGGGCGUAAAGAGCGUGUAGGCGGUUAGGUAGGUCCGUUGUGAAAACUCGAGGCUCAACCUCGAGACGCCGAUGGAAACCAUCUAACUAGAGUCCGGAAGAGGAGAGUGGAAUUCCUGGUGUAGCGGUGAAAUGCGCAGAUAUCAGGAAGAACACCCGUGGCUAAGGCGGCUCUCUAGUACGGUACUGACGCUGAGACGCGAAAAGCGUGGGGGAGCGAACAGG